This 2897-nucleotide long non-coding RNA is filed under the name Populus trichocarpa (black cottonwood). Its description in RNAcentral is "long non-coding RNA (PTRI_LNC002147)". The record is from RNAcentral. Lineage: Eukaryota; Viridiplantae; Streptophyta; Magnoliopsida; Malpighiales; Salicaceae.
UGGGUGUCCAGUUGCACAUAUAUAUAUAUAUAUAUAUAUAUAUUUUAGUUUAACGUGGGUGUCCGGGUCAGCUUGCGCGCACCUCAACUAAUCCCACGGGUCCUGAAGUUAACGACCAUGUAAGUCUCCAGUGGCCAUCAUAUGAGCAAUCACAGGACUCGAACCUGAAAUCAUAAAGGGAGCAAGUAUAUCUUUAAUAUUUGUGAUGGGUGCUAAAUUUAAUCUUCUAUAUAUUCGAAGGUACUCUUUAUGAAGAAAAAACUGAAAAGCAUGAACAAGUUCUAAUUCGGCACGAUUGCAUGUCAUGGAUGCUGCCAUCCCAUCAAUAUCAAUUCAGAAAUUCCUCGCCAUGUCUUCUUUGAUAGCUUUAUUAGAAUAGUGGCAAAAUGAAUGUACUCGUCGUCAUCGAAUUUGUUAAUAUGAUAUUUCAAUAUUAGUCAAAAUAUUUAAAUUGCUGAUUAUCAUGUAUGAGACUCGACAAUAUCGAUAUGCUGACGUGUCUGGUAUUGAUAUUGUUUUAUUACAACGAUCGUUAGCCAUUUUAAUUAUUAACUUUCAAGAAUAAAUAAAAAUAACUUAUAGAAAUUUAUAAAAUAUAAAAUAAGCUCUGGAAAGGGAACUUUUAAAUAUUGGUUGUUUAAACAAUAUAUUUAUAUUGUAAAUAAUAUUGUCUAAAUAAAUAUUAAAAUAAAUACGUACAAUCAAUUUAUAUGUACAAUUGUUUAAUUACGCACCGUCCUCAAGUAUAGUAAAAUUAAAAUUAUGAACUAUCCUGGAUUAUUGAUACUUGUAAAUAAAUAAUCUCAAAUUAUAAUAUGUUAACUUUUUAUUAGUUUAUUUUUUUUUUAAUCAGUUGCCUUAUCUCUCUGUGUACUGAAAAUGGAGGACAAGAACACGAUGAUAGUUUAUUUGAGUUUCAUGUAGGAUUGUAUACCCUCCAGUGACGUUUAUUUACGGUCAUUAAUACAUUUAUUUGUAUAUAGAUACAACUUACAAGAGAAUUGAACAUAAAUUUUAAAAGGAAAAAAGUGUCUUGAAUCUAGCUAGGGCAUUAAUAAAUCCAAUUUAACUUGAAAGAUAAUUUCAACAUUGUAUGUGGAUGCAACUUAGUACAAAUUUGAACAUGAACUUUUAAAUUAAUUAAUAAAUUUUCUGUAUAUUAAAAGUUUCUUGAUUCUAGCAUCAUAUGAAAGAAUAACCUGGAUUUGUUGGAUUCCCAGAGGGUUUAAUUACUUGCAAGGUACUUCCUUAUACUUUCAAUUACAGCUGCAAGCCUUUUAGGAUACUUGCUGAUAAAUCUGAAGUGGAGCACCAAGUUUUUUCUUUCCAACAAAACAGCUUGUCUUUGUGGAGUACCUAUGUGUGUUUUCUUCUCAUGCAAUCGCAUGUUUACACUAACAAAAUGCUGUUCAACAGGUACCUCACUAGCUCUUUCAAUUCCAUGCACACGAUUUAGUUUAAUCACAAAUGUCAUUGAUGGAAUAGUCGAGUUCUAGUAUUACUAAUUGUCUGCAGGCAUAUUGCUGUCUAAGACGUGAUAUUCGAACAAAUAUUAUGCCCUUCAACGGAUUUAUUUCUUGAUUUCUCAAAAUCUUUCACAAUAAUAUGAGCAAAUUAAUGGAAAGAAAAAUCCAGCAACGGCAAACAAGUCCUCUAAUUAAUAUGUAUUUUAUUUAUUAGGCGAAAAGCCUGAAAGAGGCACAUGGAUGGGAGAGAGAAAUAAUGGAGAUAUCACCAUGAAUAUACAUAUAACUAUUUCAUGGGGUUCUUCACAUGCCUUCCUACUUGUUUUUCUUAUCCUCAUUUAGCUGUUGGUUUACAGCUGGAUCCGGAUGCCUGUAAUAACCGAUAAAAAACUUCAAUUAGACAACGCACGCGAUUAGCAAUUUCAUGAUGAAUAUGUUGAGACCAUUUUGUAUAAUAUGUUUAUGACAACCUUAUAAUGCAUUAAGGUUACAAGUGGAUAAUUAUGAACCCGUUUGGUAUAACGAUCAGUGCAGUGAAGAUGCAAAAUGCAUUAAUUUGGUGUUUUUUUUUUUAACACAACCAUAUCUUCAACCUUAUUAUCAAACACCUACAUGAUAUAAGGAAAGUUUUGCGUACCUUCUUUUUAGGCUCCCGGGGCUUCUGCUCAACCUUUUUAGGGGCUGGUUUUGAUGCCGGAGUUUUGGGUGCACUGCUGCUGGGUUUAGCUGCAGGCUCUUUCUUGACAGGCUCGAUUGGCUUAGUGCCAACAGGUUUCAUUGCUUUGAGUGAUGCCAUUCUUCUUCGGUACCCUGUCGAAUUAAGAGGUUGCACAAACACUUGCUGGCCUGAGUAAUACGUCCUUCAGAUAGUCCUAUUUAUAGCCAGGUUGCUUAAUUAUAACAUGGAAUCCGAAGAAGUAAUCACAUCAGAUGAAUGGAUAGAUAGGUGUGGCUGUUUGAAGGAAUAGAAUAACUUGAAAUGGAGGCCUUUUGAGGGAUACUGCAUCGGAUGCUUGGGCAUAUUUUAACGACAUUAUUGGAUGCUUAUUCUAAUAUAGAGGCAGUUAUUUUUCAGGGAAUAAGCUUGAAUGCAAGUGCAUUCAAUGAGCUACAGAUAAAUCCGAUGUUUAAUUAUCUUGAUUAAUAGUCAGAUCAUGUCACCCUUGUAGUUACAAUUAGACUAAUUGCGAUUAAUUUGAAAGGAUUUUCUAUAAUGACAAGGACCACAUGUAUUCAAUGCAUACUUCCUAGUUAUGAUAAAACAAGAGCUUUUAUCUACAAAAUAGCAUUCUGCAGAAUUUGCAGAUAUCUGUUUCUGUUUCGGCCACUGAUCUACGCAAUCUCAUGGAACUGAUGCCAAAUACUUGACUGUAGUUCACAUUGAAAAGAUGUAGGAUUUCAAAAUAAGAGUAAAUUUACAUCACAAAACUC